Molecule: ribosomal RNA, 253 nt
Filed under: uncultured bacterium
Lineage: Bacteria
Description: partial 16S ribosomal RNA
Rfam family: Bacterial small subunit ribosomal RNA
Source: RNAcentral
UACGGAGGGGGCUAGCGUUGUUCGGAAUUACUGGGCGUAAAGCGCGCGUAGGCGGCUUUGUAAGUUAGAGGUGAAAGCCCGGAGCUCAACUCCGGAAUUGCCUUUAAGACUGCAUCGCUUGAAUCCAGGAGAGGUGAGUGGAAUUCCGAGUGUAGAGGUGAAAUUCGUAGAUAUUCGGAAGAACACCAGUGGCGAAGGCGGCUCACUGGACUGGUAUUGACGCUGAUGUGCGAAAGCGUGGGGAGCAAACAGG